AUACGUACUGUGCGAACGUUAUUCGGAAUCACUGGGCUUAAAGGGUGCGUAGGCGGUCAGAUAAGUAGGGUGUGAAAUCUCUCGGCUCAACCGAGAAACUGCGCUCUAAACUGUCUGACUUGAGUGAGAUAGGGGUGUGCGGAACUUCCAGUGGAGCGGUGAAAUGUGUUGAUAUUGGAAGGAACACCGGUAGCGAAAGCGGCACACUGGGUCUCAACUGACGCUGAGGCACGAAAGCUAGGGUAGCGAACGGGAGUAGAAACCCUAGUAGUCC
RNAcentral lists this ribosomal RNA (274 nucleotides) under uncultured bacterium. RNAcentral's name for it is "partial 16S ribosomal RNA". It matches the Rfam family "Bacterial small subunit ribosomal RNA", at positions 523 to 796 of the family's 1533-position model. The record is from RNAcentral.